AGAGUUUGAUCCUGGCUCAGAACGUACGCUGGCGGCACGCCUAACGCAUGCAAGUCGAACGAAGUAGCAAUACUUAGUGGCAGACGGGUGAGUAACAUGUAGGUAUCUGCCCUUUGGCCUGGAAUAACACGAGGAAACUUGUGCUAAUACCGGAUAAGUCUUUACGGAGAAAGCUUUAUGCACCAUUGGAUGAGCCUGCACUUGAUUAGUUUGUUGGUGGGGUAAUGGCCUACCAAGACUGUGAUCAAUAGCUGAUUUGAGAGGAUGAUCAGCCACAUUGGGACUGAGACACGGCCCAAACUCCUACGGGAGGCAGCAGUGGGGAAUCUUGCACAAUGGAGGAAACUCUGAUGCAGCGAUGCCGCGUGAGUGAAGAAGGCCCUUGGGUUGUAAAGCUCUUUCGUCGGGGAAGAAAAUGACUGUACCCGAAUAAGAAGGUCCGGCUAACUUCGUGCCAGCAGCCGCGGUAAUACGAAGGGACCUAGCGUAGUUCGGAAUUACUGGGCUUAAAGAGUUCGUAGGUGGUUGAAAAAGUUGGUGGUGAAAUCCCAGAGCUUAACUCUGGAACUGCCAU
RNAcentral lists this ribosomal RNA (574 nucleotides) under uncultured bacterium. RNAcentral's name for it is "bacterial SSU rRNA". It matches the Rfam family "Bacterial small subunit ribosomal RNA", at positions 8 to 627 of the family's 1533-position model. The record is from RNAcentral.